UUCGGGGUGGAUUAGUGGCGAACGGGUGAGUAACACGUGGGCAAUCUGCCCUGCACUCUGGGACAAGCCCUGGAAACGGGGUCUAAUACCGGAUACUGAUCGCCUUGGGCAUCCUUGGUGAUCGAAAGCUCCGGCGGUGCAGGAUGAGCCCGCGGCCUAUCAGCUUGUUGGUGAGGUAAUGGCUCACCAAGGCGACGACGGGUAGCCGGCCUGAGAGGGCGACCGGCCACACUGGGACUGAGACACGGCCCAGACUCCUACGGGAGGCAGCAGUGGGGAAUAUUGCACAAUGGGCGAAAGCCUGAUGCAGCGACGCCGCGUGAGGGAUGACGGCCUUCGGGUUGUAAACCUCUUUCAGCAGGGAAGAAGCGAAAGUGACGGUACCUGCAGAAGAAGCGCCGGCUAACUACGUGCCAGCAGCCGCGGUAAUACGUAGGGCGCGAGCGUUGUCCGGAAUUAUUGGGCGUAAAGAGCUCGUAGGCGGCUUGUCGCGUCGGUUGUGAAAGCCCGGGGCUUAACCCCGGGUCUGCAGUCGAUACGGGCAGGCUAGAGUUCGGUAGGGGAGAUCGGAAUUCCUGGUGUAGCGGUGAAAUGCGCAGAUAUCAGGAGGAACACCGGUGGCGAAGGCGGAUCUCUGGGCCGAUACUGACGCUGAGGAGCGAAAGCGUGGGGAGCGAACAGGAUUAGAUACCCUGGUAGUCCACGCCGUAAACGGUGGGCACUAGGUGUGGGCGACAUUCCACGUCGUCCGUGCCGCAGCUAACGCAUUAAG
Molecule: ribosomal RNA, 772 nt
Filed under: Streptomyces cellulosae
Lineage: Bacteria; Bacillati; Actinomycetota; Actinomycetes; Kitasatosporales; Streptomycetaceae
Description: bacterial SSU rRNA
Rfam family: Bacterial small subunit ribosomal RNA
Source: RNAcentral